ACCUACGGGGGGCAGCAGUGGGGAAUAUUGCGCAAUGGGCGAAAGCCUGACGCAGCAACGCCGUGUGAGGGAUGAAGGCUUUCGGGUCGUAAACCUCUGUCGGAAGGGAAGAACGGGCAUUGGUCUAAUAGGCCUUUGUUUUGACGGUACCUUUAGAGGAAGCACCGGCUAACUCCGUGCCAGCAGCCGCGGUAAUACGGAGGGUGCAAGCGUUAUUCGGAAUUACUGGGCGUAAAGCGCACGUAGGCGGCUUCGUAAGUCAGGGGUGAAAUCCCACGGCUCAACCGUGGAACUGCCUUUGAAACUGCAAAGCUUGAAUCCUGGAGAGGGUGGCGGAAUUCCUGGUGUAGGAGUGAAAUCCGUAGAUAUCAGGAGGAACACCGGUGGCGAAGGCGGCCACCUGGACAGGUAUUGACGCUGAGGUGCGAAAGUGUGGGGAGCAAACAGGAUUAGAUACCCUGGUAGC
RNAcentral lists this ribosomal RNA (466 nucleotides) under uncultured bacterium. RNAcentral's name for it is "bacterial SSU rRNA". It matches the Rfam family "Bacterial small subunit ribosomal RNA", at positions 337 to 794 of the family's 1533-position model. The record is from RNAcentral.